RNAcentral lists this ribosomal RNA (2888 nucleotides) under Vibrio neptunius. Its description in RNAcentral is "23S ribosomal RNA". It matches the Rfam family "Bacterial large subunit ribosomal RNA". Lineage: Bacteria; Pseudomonadati; Pseudomonadota; Gammaproteobacteria; Vibrionales; Vibrionaceae. The record is from RNAcentral.
GGUUAAGUGACUAAGCGUACACGGUGGAUGCCUUGGCAGUCAGAGGCGAUGAAGGACGUAUUAACUUGCGAUAAGCCCAGAUUAGGCAGUAAAAGCCAUUUGAGUCUGGGAUUUCCGAAUGGGGAAACCCACCUGCAUAAGCAGGUAUCAUUAUCUGAAUACAUAGGGUAAUGAAGCGAACCGGGGGAACUGAAACAUCUAAGUACCCCGAGGAAAAGAAAUCAACCGAGAUUCCGAAAGUAGCGGCGAGCGAAAUUGGAUUAGCCCUUAAGCCUUUAAUGCGUCAGGUGAAAGUUCUGGAAAGGUCUGCGAUACAGGGUGAUAGCCCCGUAACCGGCAGCGCAUUUUAGGUGAAAUCGAGUAGGGCGGGACACGUGAUAUCCUGUCUGAAUAUGGGGGACCAUCCUCCAAGGCUAAAUACUACUGACUGACCGAUAGUGAACCAGUACCGUGAGGGAAAGGCGAAAAGAACCCCUGUGAGGGGAGUGAAAUAGAACCUGAAACCGUGUACGUACAAGCAGUAGGAGCACCCUCGUGGUGUGACUGCGUACCUUUUGUAUAAUGGGUCAGCGACUUAUAUUCAGUAGCAAGGUUAACCAUCUAGGGGAGCCGUAGAGAAAUCGAGUCUUAACUGGGCGUCGAGUUGCUGGAUAUAGACCCGAAACCAGGUGAUCUAGCCAUGGGCAGGUUGAAGGUUGAGUAACAUCAACUGGAGGACCGAACCGACUAAUGUUGAAAAAUUAGCGGAUGACUUGUGGCUAGGGGUGAAAGGCCAAUCAAACCUGGAGAUAGCUGGUUCUCCCCGAAAUCUAUUUAGGUAGAGCCUCGGACGAAUACUACUGGGGGUAGAGCACUGUUAAGGCUAGGGGGUCAUCCCGACUUACCAACCCUUUGCAAACUCCGAAUACCAGUAAGUACUAUCCGGGAGACACACGGCGGGUGCUAACGUCCGUCGUGGAGAGGGAAACAACCCAGACCGCCAGCUAAGGUCCCAAAUUACAGCUAAGUGGGAAACGAUGUGGGAAGGCUUAGACAGCUAGGAUGUUGGCUUAGAAGCAGCCAUCAUUUAAAGAAAGCGUAAUAGCUCACUAGUCGAGUCGGCCUGCGCGGAAGAUGUAACGGGGCUAAGCUGUAAACCGAAGCUGCGGCAAUGCAUUUUAUGUAUUGGGUAGGGGAGCGUUCUGUAAGCCGUUGAAGGUGAGUUGUAAAGCUUGCUGGAGGUAUCAGAAGUGCGAAUGCUGACAUGAGUAACGAUAAAGGGGGUGAAAAACCCCCUCGCCGGAAGACCAAGGGUUCCUGUCCAACGUUAAUCGGGGCAGGGUAAGUCGACCCCUAAGGCGAGGCCGAAAGGCGUAGUCGAUGGGAAACGGGUUAAUAUUCCCGUACUUCUUACAAUUGCGAUGGGGGGACGGAGAAGGCUAGGUGGGCCUGGCGACGGUUGUCCAGGUUCAAGUGCGUAGGCUUGAGAGUUAGGUAAAUCCGGCUCUCUCUAAGGCUGAGACACGAUGUCGAGCAUCUACGGAUGUGAAGUCAUUGAUGCCAUGCUUCCAGGAAAAGCCUCUAAGCUUCAGAUUGUAAGGAAUCGUACCCCAAACCGACACAGGUGGUCGGGUAGAGAAUACCAAGGCGCUUGAGAGAACUCGGGUGAAGGAACUAGGCAAAAUGGUACCGUAACUUCGGGAGAAGGUACGCUCUUGACGGUGAAGUCCCUCGCGGAUGGAGCUAUUGAGAGUCGCAGAUACCAGGUGGCUGCAACUGUUUAUUAAAAACACAGCACUGUGCAAAAUCGUAAGAUGACGUAUACGGUGUGACGCCUGCCCGGUGCCGGAAGGUUAAUUGAUGGGGUUAGACGUAAGUCGAAGCUCUUGAUCGAAGCCCCGGUAAACGGCGGCCGUAACUAUAACGGUCCUAAGGUAGCGAAAUUCCUUGUCGGGUAAGUUCCGACCUGCACGAAUGGCGUAAUGAUGGCCACGCUGUCUCCACCCGAGACUCAGUGAAAUUGAAAUCGCUGUGAAGAUGCAGUGUACCCGCGGCUAGACGGAAAGACCCCGUGAACCUUUACUACAGCUUGGCACUGAACAUUGACCCUACAUGUGUAGGAUAGGUGGGAGGCUUUGAACCCGGUACGCCAGUAUCGGUGGAGCCGUCCUUGAAAUACCACCCUUGUAGUGUUGAUGUUCUAACUUAGACCCGUUAUCCGGGUUGAGGACAGUGCCUGGUGGGUAGUUUGACUGGGGCGGUCUCCUCCCAAAGAGUAACGGAGGAGCACGAAGGUGGGCUAAUCACGGUUGGACAUCGUGAGGUUAGUGCAAUGGCAUAAGCCCGCUUGACUGCGAGAAUGACAAUUCGAGCAGGUGCGAAAGCAGGUCAUAGUGAUCCGGUGGUUCUGAAUGGAAGGGCCAUCGCUCAACGGAUAAAAGGUACUCCGGGGAUAACAGGCUGAUACCGCCCAAGAGUUCAUAUCGACGGCGGUGUUUGGCACCUCGAUGUCGGCUCAUCACAUCCUGGGGCUGAAGUCGGUCCCAAGGGUAUGGCUGUUCGCCAUUUAAAGUGGUACGCGAGCUGGGUUUAGAACGUCGUGAGACAGUUCGGUCCCUAUCUGCCGUGGGCGUUGGAAGAUUGAAGGGGGCUGCUCCUAGUACGAGAGGACCGGAGUGGACGAACCUCUGGUGUUCGGGUUGUCAUGCCAAUGGCAUUGCCCGGUAGCUAAGUUCGGAAUCGAUAACCGCUGAAAGCAUCUAAGCGGGAAGCGAGCCCUGAGAUGAGUCUUCCCUGACCCCUUGAGGGUCCUAAAGGGUUGUUCGAGACUAGAACGUUGAUAGGCAGGGUGUGUAAGCGUUGUGAGGCGUUGAGCUAACCUGUACUAAUUGCCCGUGAGGCUUAACCAU